UAGGGAAUCUUCCGCAAUGGACGCAAGUCUGACGGAGCAACGCCGCGUGAGUGAAGAAGGAUUUCGGUUCGUAAAACUCUGUUGUUAGAGAAGAACAGCGCAUAGAGUAACUGUUAUGCGUGUGACGGUAUCUAACCAGAAAGCCACGGCUAACUACGUGCCAGCAGCCGCGGUAAUACGUAGGUGGCAAGCGUUGUCCGGAUUUAUUGGGCGUAAAGCGAGCGCAGGCGGUCAAUUAAGUCUGAUGUGAAAGCCCCCGGCUCAACCGGGGAGGGUCAUUGGAAACUGGUUGACUUGAGUGCAGAAGAGGAGAGUGGAAUUCCAUGUGUAGCGGUGAAAUGCGUAGAUAUAUGGAGGAACACCAGUGGCGAAGGCGACUCUCUGGUCUGUAACUGACGCUGAGGCUCGAAAGCGUGGGUAGCUAACAGG
This 429-nucleotide ribosomal RNA is filed under the name Bacteroidota bacterium. RNAcentral describes it as "Bacteroidetes bacterium partial 16S ribosomal RNA". It matches the Rfam family "Bacterial small subunit ribosomal RNA", at positions 355 to 776 of the family's 1533-position model. Lineage: Bacteria; Pseudomonadati; Bacteroidota. The record is from RNAcentral.